CUAGCGGCGGACGGGUGAGUAACGCGUGAGCAAUCUGUCCCAGACAGGGGGAUAACAACUGGAAACAGUUGCUAAUACCGCAUAAGACCACGGCCUCGCAUGGGGCUGGGGUAAAAGUGGAAACACAGUUUGGGGUGAGCUCGCGUCCCAUUAGCUAGUUGGUGAGGUAACGGCCCACCAAGGCGACGAUGGGUAGCCGACCUGAGAGGGUGAUCGGCCACACUGGAACUGAGACACGGUCCAGACUCC
RNAcentral lists this ribosomal RNA (249 nucleotides) under uncultured Clostridia bacterium. Its description in RNAcentral is "partial 16S ribosomal RNA". It matches the Rfam family "Bacterial small subunit ribosomal RNA", at positions 92 to 339 of the family's 1533-position model. The record is from RNAcentral. Lineage: Bacteria; Bacillati; Bacillota; Clostridia.